AGGCAGGUAUCUGUGUAAUGUGUAUGGAGGUCGUCGGUCAACGACUCCUCUUUCUCUUAUCCCUCCCAGUUUUCUUCUUCAGGUCUCCUUCAAACUCGCAACUAGACCAGGUAUCAACUCUUUCAAAAUUUUCAUGGCUAUAAGGGUUCUUUUAUGGUCAGUGAUGAUCUUCUAUUAGAAGGAUUGAAGAAGUGCAAGUCUCUUGGUGCCUUGGCUAUGCUCCAUGCAGAAAAUGGAGAUACUGUAUAUGAAGGGCAGAAAAGAACGAUAGACCUUGGUAUUACCGUAUUACUGGUCGGGAGAGACAUACUUUUUCACGGCCCCCAGUGCUUGAAUUAAGGAGAAGCAACUUCUCGGGCAAUUCGUUUGGCAGCUUUUGUGAACGUGCCUCUCUAGUCUCUACGUAGUUCAUGUCAUGAGCAUCGCACAAUGGAAGAGACUGCUAAAGCUUGGAAAUUGGGAAAAAGGAGGAGUUGUUUGGGAAAAUGAUGAACUUAAGGUUAUUUUUGGUUCUGGAAAACACGUUAAAAUGCCUCCUUCAGCUAUCCUUUCCAUGGAAUUGAUAAGGCGGAUGCCUUGUACCUAUCAUCUCUUCAGGCUCUGGUGAAGCGUUUUAAAUCUACCACUUCAAAACCCGGUGAGUAGAAUCCUUUUUCCUUUUCAACUUAGAGUGGUAGAAGGGCUCAAAAAAUUCUUCAAAUUUGAACACAGAGAGAAUGAUUGGUUGUCUUAAUUGCUUUGUAUCUAGCUCUAUAGAUGGACUUCAACCCAAGGUUGUUAGAAUCGCAUGAAUUAUGAUUCGGUUCAUGCGAUUCGACUUUGAUGGAUAAUGAUAUGAAUCGUGCUUUGAAUGGCAGAGCAGACUGAAUCGCGUUUGUGAAUCGCUGGAAUCGUCUGAAAUCGGCGAUUCCAGCAAUUCACAAAUUUUAUAUCUUUAAAAUAUAAACAAUCAAAACAACAUCGUUGUGAUUGAGUCAGAAAUUGUACAUUUUUAUUAUAAAUAGAUAUAGUAUACUUAACCUUUACAGAAGCUUUUAGUUUUUUCCCCUUCUUUUACUGGAAGACAAAUAAAUAAAUACGGAUAAACAUUAUACUUUAGUUCUCCAGUGAUGAACCUGCUUCCUCUAUAAUUUACAAGACAGAAUCAAUGACGCUGUUCAAUUAAGUAAGAGUGGUUGAAUGUUAGGAGAUUGGCUUCUCUGUCUUAGGGAAAUCAAGGCCUAAUACAGCAAUUAAUGUAGGUCAAUAUCUUCUUUUUUCUCUGCAGUGCAACAAAUGUACAUGGGAUUAGAAAGAAAAAUGUCUUCUUUGAUCAA
This is a long non-coding RNA of Tripterygium wilfordii, 1316 nucleotides long. RefSeq lists it as uncharacterized. The transcript has 4 exons. Lineage: Eukaryota; Viridiplantae; Streptophyta; Magnoliopsida; Celastrales; Celastraceae. The record is from RefSeq and is a predicted model, not a curated record.